AAAAUUUUAAAUUUUUGGCGCCAUUACCCCCUACAUAAAACUGAAGCAGCCCCACUUAUUAUUUCGGCUCCAUUCAAUGGUUGAACCAAAAUCACAGUUGCAUUUGCUUGGCAAAGUUUGCAUCCGAAUGAUUUGCUGAUCCAGAAAACUUGAGCAAUUGAAUGCGCGGUAUAAGUCGGGACCUAAAUUAAAGGAAGCCGCAGGGAGCUGAAAAUGGUCUCUUUUCAAACCAUGUGUGCAGAAGCAUAUCAUACGGCUGAUCCUCAACAAUCAGGAUCCAUGAAA
This 285-nucleotide unclassified non-coding RNA is filed under the name Hevea brasiliensis (rubber tree). The record is from RNAcentral. Lineage: Eukaryota; Viridiplantae; Streptophyta; Magnoliopsida; Malpighiales; Euphorbiaceae.